This is a long non-coding RNA of Gasterosteus aculeatus aculeatus (three-spined stickleback), 16399 nucleotides long. The record is from Ensembl. Lineage: Eukaryota; Metazoa; Chordata; Actinopteri; Perciformes; Gasterosteidae.
CAGCUCCGUGGCUGUCUGAACCAGUGCGUGCCAUGAGAGCCACCAUGCGAGCAUCGGAAAGGAGAUGGCGUAAAAUAUAAACCUGAUGACCUGCUUGCGUUUCAAUCUCUCAACUUUUUCUGCUUCUAUCUCCGCUGCCAGUUCUUUCUACCAAUCCAGAGUUGAAUUUCUAACCCUUCCAACCUCCUCGAACCCCCUAGUCCUCCUCCACCCUUCUUCCGGGAGACUGUCAACUAUUUUACCAAAUAAAUAGCUGACAUACGCUCGUCUUUCUCAAACCCACCUCCUAUUACUAGUGUCCCACUGGCUUAACCUCUAUCGCCCUCACUUUCCUCCUUCACCCUCCUGUCUCCUAACCAAAUUGUUACCUUAGUAACCUCUGCCUGUCCAACCACCUGCCCUCUCGACCCCAUUCCAUCACAUGUUCUACAAUCUAUCGCUCCUGACGUUCUUCCUUUCCUUACCUUUCUCAUCAACAAUAAUCUGUUAUCUGUCUGUUUUCCCAAUUCUCUGAAGGAGGCAAGAGUUAACCCUCUCCUGAAGAAACCAACCCUCAACCCUUCUCUAGGAACCUCGGCGUGAGCCAACUAUCCCUGACUCCCAACAUCACGAUCCUGUAGAUACACGCUCUACAACAUCAGGAGAAUACGUUCUCUUCUCACUCAGAAGGCAGGUACUAAUUCAUGCUCUUGUCAUCUCCCGCCUGGAUUACUGCAACUUUCUCCUGACACGUCUCCCCGCUAACGCCAUUGGGCCUCUGCAGCUCAUCCAGAAUGCAUGGUCUUUAAGCUUCCGAAAUUCUCCCACACUACUCCACUCCUCCGCUCUCUUCACUGGCUACCGGUGCCUGCCCGCAUCCAGUUCAAAACAUUGGUGCAGUCUACAUCCAGGACAUGGUCAAACCCUACAUCCCGACCCGCACUCCCUGCUUUGCAUCUGCAAAACUGCUUGUCCCUCCCUCACUGAGAGCAAAACACUCAACAAUAUCACGACUCUUUGCUGUCCUGGCUCGAAAAUGGUGGAAUGAGCUCUCUGAUGACAUCAGGCCCGCAGAGAGCCUUCACGUCUUUCGCCGCAAACUAAAGACACACCUCUUCAGACUCUACCUUGACUAAAGACUAACAAAUUGUAGCACUUAAAUUGUACUUAUAAUGCCACUUAUCUAUAGCAAAUUGUAAAUUGGCUUAAUUGAUGAAAUUGCACUUUGUUUCUUGUUGCGAGUUUGUAUCCCUAUGGUUGAAUGUACUUAUUGUAUGUCGCUUUGGAUAAAAUCGUCGUCAGCUAAAUGACAUGUAAUGUAAAAGCAGCCAGAGUGAGAGUGGAGAGUGAGUGCAGAAAGACUUUUCACGUCAAGAACAGAAAUGGUGUGUAUUCAGCAUCAAUUUCAACAGAAGCUGUUGCAGAUGAAAGGAAUCAAAGAUGAUGACAAUUUUGAGCAGGUGGAGUGGCAAGGAGCGCACUCUAAUGAUCUAGAUCGGACAAACAACGCCAGACAUCAGAGGGAACCACCAGUCCAGAGAGAACCAAAGCUGGUACCACUGUCACCAGAGGAUGACAUUGAACACAUUGUGUCAAUGGCACAAGUCUGUCAAAGGUCAUGGCGUGGGUGGGCCAUUUGUCAGGUAAGGCAAGGAGUGCCUCCGUGUUCAUGGAUAAGCAGCAAUACUGGCCAAAUAUGAAAUCACAGCGGAUGCUUACCGUCGGCCGUUUCGGUCUACAAAUAUUAGAGACCCCAUGUGAGUUGUAUGUUCGCCGGAAAGACUUGUUUUCAAAUGGGUCAAACAAGACCAUUCCACAGUGAAGGAAAUAUCGGAGAAGUUAAUUCUUUCCUGAGAAUGCUUCACCCGGAUCUUGACGUGUGCAUCUGUGAGCAUGACCUGUGUACUGCAGAUGAAGCAGCUCAACUAGCUGAAAUAUUUACAGCCACCAGAAGAGGAACCCGCUAUGGCUGCAUUCUUUCCCCAUUGCACUUUCAGCUACCAGUCCGUCAAGCUCCUGAAGUUUGCGGAUGACACCACCCUCAUUGGACUGAUUUUUGGUGGGGAUGAGUCCGCCUACAGGUGGGAGUCUGACCAUCUGGUGACGUGGUGCAGCCAGAACAACCUGUAGCUCAAUGCUCUGAAGACAGUGGAGAUUGUUGUGGAUUUCAGGAAGAACGCAGUUCCACCUUCCCCCAUCACCCUGUGUGACUCCCCCGUCACCGCUGUGGACUCCUUCCGUUUUUUGUGCUCCAUCAUCACCCAGGACCUCAAGUGGGAGCUGAACAUCAGCUCCAUCACCAAGAAGGCUCAAGAAGAGACUGUUCUUCCUGAGGCAGCUGAAAAAAUUCAACCUGCCAAAGACGAUGAUGGUGCACUUCUACACAGCCAUCAUAGUCCAUCCUCUGCUCCUCCAUCACCGUCUACUACGCUGCAGGUUUUGAACAAAUGGCAUGGACUGGAUGAAGUCACAAGUCGGAUUGGGAAGGUCACCUAUAAAAUAGGUAUGCCAGAAUUUCAUGUAAACUUAGUAGUUCCAGGAGCGCAGCUGCCUUGUAGGGCAAUAUGGUGUUACAAGCUCUUUAAGAUAAGACGUUGCCUCACCAACAAGUGCCUUGUGGGAAGUACCUUAAAUUCUAUUCUUGAUUUAACAAGGAGCCAGUGCAGAGAAGUUAAUACAGGAGUAAUAUGAUCCCUUUUUUUAGUUAUGGUUAAUAAACGUGCUGCAGCAUUCUGAAUCAACUGGAGAGGCUUAAGAGAUUUACAAGAGUAGCCUGAUAAAAGAAUUACAGUAAUCCAGUCUAGAAGUAACAAAUGCAUGACCUAAUUUUUUUGCAUCACGUUGAGACAGGUUCCUGAUUUUCGAUAAAUCGAGAUGAAAAAAGGCAGUCCUUGAGGUCUUCUUUAUAUAAGAGUUGAAGGACAGAUCCUGGUCGAAGAGAACUCCAAGAUUAUUGACGGUCCAAGUACAGAACCUUGUGGGACUCCGUGACAAACAUUGGUGGUCUUUGAGGAUUCACCCUUUACAAGCACAAACUGGGAUCGAUCCGACAAAACCAGCUGAGUGCAGUUCUUCUGAUAGCAAUAAAAUGUUCUAGUCUUUGCAAGACUGAGGUCCAGCAAGACAAGAAAAGAGAUGAGUCCUUGGUCCGAUGCAAGUAGAAGAUCAUUCGUGAUUUUCACUAGUGCCGUUUCUGUGCUAUGAUGCACUCCAAUCCUGACUGGAAAUCCUCGAACAAAGCAUUGUUUUGUAGAAAGUCACAUAAUUGAUUCGCAAUGGAUUUCUCAAGGAUCCCAGAGAAGGGAAGAUUAGAUAGGUCUGUAGUUAGCCAACACCUCUGGAGCAAGAGUAGGUUUCUUAAGAAGAAAUCUAAUUAAGGCAACCUUGAAGGACUGUGGACAGAUUUGUGAUAUCCAAUAAAGACGUGCUAACUAAAUAAAAAAUUGAUGGUACUGUAUCGACCCCAGGAGUGUAUGCGUGUUACGUCUGUGUCACGCCAUCGCCCUCACUCCGGCCAAUCAGGGGGAGUCACUGUAUGCUAGGCAGGAGGCGGCCUGUGAUUGGGGGAGAUCAGGGUAGGCGGGUGUUUCCGUGUUCUGGGUUAGUCAAGGUAGUCAGAAGAGUUCCAGUUACAGCGUACCGAUAGCGUGGGGGUGUCUGCUAACUGUUUGCAGGAAUCCUGCCCGAACGUCCAUUUGCCUCCGUGUUGUGAGUUAGCCACUACACCCGAUACUCUACAAUACGCUUAUUUAAUAUUUUGUUGCACAACCUUUAAGGAAAUUAAGCAAUUUUGUAACUCUCAAGGAGACUUUUGUACCUUUCAAAAGAUAUUUUGGCCCACUCAUGAGCUAACGGCUGCAGCUGUAUGAAGUGGGUUUUGUUGGAGGACCCAUGUCCUGCAACAGUGACUAAGCUUUCUGACACUGGACAAAACAUUUCACUCCAGAAUGCCUUGAUAUUCUUAUAGCUUUACCUUAAGAUGCUCGUCUAUCAUUUUCAGUGUUGUACUUACUCUCCAUGAUACCAAACAGCACAGUGACUACUUUUCACCCUUUAAAUAGGGAUGCCAAUUAGAAGACACACCUUAGUUUAACAUGUCCCAUAGUGAAAUUAUUUUCCAUCUUUUGUAGGGGUACCAUCAUUUUCAUUUAAUUUUCAUUAUUUUUUUAUGAUUCUCCACAACCACAAUUCAAAAGAAAAUUCUGAUUUGUGUUUCAAGUUUUUAUUUCUUUAAUGGAAGGGUACCAAUCUUCUUUUUCUUUGCCAUUGAGCACCAUCGUGGUCCAAAAAACCUUAGAACCACACCUUUGCUUUUUUGAUCAUUCCCAUAAACAAAAAACCAUAGAUUACCAGGGCUCAGUUCUACAUAAUAUGUCUUUGUGAAGAAAUGGAAUCAUUCAAACAUUCCAAAUACAUUUAAACUGUGUUUUUUGUCAGGCCUUAUAUGUAUUGUGCAUGAAGUAGUGACAGGCAGGAAAGUUAGGCGGUGUGCUUGCAGAGGUAUGGAGAUUCUGAUUGCAGUGUCAGCCAAUCCCUUAGCUGAUGUCAGUACAGCUAACAGUUGGGAUGUUGUUAAGUGUUUAUGUGUUAUGAGGGAGCAUCAAGCAUAUUGAUGGAAAGUAGAUUGAGUAUGCAGGCCCCUAAGGUUUGACCAUGUUCUGGAUGUAGACUGGAGCUGAUCUGUUGGCCGCACGCUACACAUGUACCAAUGUUUUGAAACACAUACGGGCCGGCACUAGUAACUAGUGUUCGUGAAUUUAGGUAGUCUAGCUGCUGCAUUCUGGAUGAGCAGCAGAGGUUGCAUUGCGCUGGCAGGUAGUGCUGCAAAGAGGGAGUUAAAAUAAACAGGGCGUGAGAUGACCAGAGCCUGUGGUGCACAGCCAUCCACUGAGUGGUGUCAGUCAAACAGGCAGAGAUUCAUGUUGCUACUUGUGUCUCUGAUUGGGGGAAAGACAGUACUUCAAUGGUAGGAGGAUGUUAGUGGAUAACAAUUGGUGAGAGAGGAAAGAUAAUAUUCAAGAAGGCUGUUGAAGUGAAUUGUUUUACAGUCUUGAGUUCUAAUCCCAUUACUGAAAUUAGUUGGACAAAGAUGGGGAGAGAAAAACAGGGAGAGGGUUGAGAGGAGAGAGCAGUUUUCCUUAGGUAUUGGCUUUAGGCAGCUUGAACUGUCACUAGACCUGCACAUAAACACACACACCAAUACUACGCAUCACAAACACAAACUAACAAAAAAGCAUUCACUGAUCAUUCACAGUUUGCUGCAACGCACACACACACUCACACUAACACACUCAUACACAUGGUGAAGCAGUUGUCCAUAUAGGCCCCAGGUUAAAUUUGGUGGCAGCUCCUCCUCCUCAUCAUCAUCAUCAUCACACAGAUGGCCAUGGGAGAAGUUAAUUCUUUCUCUAUUUACUCAGUUUGUGUUGCCAGUCCCUGCUGUAAUGACUGAUCCAUCACCAAACCUACUGGAGGCUGUAUGAAAGAAAGUGAAUAUGAUCUCUCUCUAGAGAGAGAGAGAGAGAGAAAAUAUGACAAUGUGGAAUGUCUAUACAUAAACAUUCCACAUUGUCAUAUAUUGUCAUUUCAGUUUUUUAUGAAAUAUUUUCCACAACUUAAUGUCACCUUGUUUCACCAUUCAUAAAAAAAUCCUCUUUGAAUUGUGUCCGCGUGCAAUCUGUACUCAAUAUUUGCAUGGCCAUGUAAAUUAAGAACUUCAAUAUUCAUAAAAUAGCAGUGGCGUGCCGUGGGCCUGGGCCUUCAGUGAGGUCCUACACAGUCCCACCAGAAUUAAUCCAUCCAUUAAUCCUCUUAUUACCAUCAUUAUGAUGCCAUGGCUCUAGACACUACACAUUUAGACAUAAACGCAGCAUAACCAGGCGUUGAGUGAUAUUGAAAAGUUUUCAAUAUUUCCUUUUUUUUCUUCACCUUUUCAUUGUGCAGUUCGGUUGCCCUGCGCGUUAGUUCGUUGAGCUGUAGAUCCACUCGGGUGUCCCCAAAAGUUUUCAAAAGCACCAUUGCUUGUGUCCAACCGUACUUUGGUGUCUCGUUGCUGCCUUGGUUAGACAACUCAAGUUUGCAAAGCCAAUGUGGCUCCAAACACCAAAAUCGAUCACUUGCAAAUAACAGGCAUUCCCAGCAGUACAGUUUGCAGAGCUACUCGGAGCCUGUGAGCCAUUGAUAGCGCUCGUAGUUGGAACUUUGAAAGUGGCGAACGAACCCCUUUCCCGCCUGUGACAGGCUUUGUAGCGUCGGCCUCGGGCGACCUCUCCUCACAAUGUCUAACUUUUCUUGAAAAGUUUGUCUUUAGAAAGGCGUUAUAAUCAGAUCCUCGACCAUAUCGAUAUCUUCUCCUCCUUCCGCCAUUGUAGGGUGAAAAAACAGCUUAGUAGUAGCGAAUGAAUUCGUUUAUCAAAUUCAGUUUUCUAGUUGUGAGGUUCUGCAUAGAGCUGCCCAUAGGACCCGCCUCUCAAUAUUGGUAAUCCAAUCAAAAGACGUGCACGCACUCCGCCUGCUAGCUGGCUCCUGUGUAACACUGGAGCCAGCCAGCAGGCGUACAAUAGCCAACUCUAAAGCUGAUUGGUUGAUACUAAAUUUUAAUUUCCAUUCACUUUAAGCUACAAGCGCCCGCACUGUUGAUUCUGAAGGCCUGAGGGCAGAUUUUAGACCCCUGGCAACACAUGAUGGCUGAAUAUGAUUGGAUAAAAGAUCUAACAUAAAGACCAGCCCUCCAAAUCUCAACCUGGGGCUGGAAGCAGUGCAACCAAGAGGAAAGCUAUGAAAUGAAGAGUAUAACUCUUACUCUAGGGAAUAAUUUAAUAGAUAUUUGUGUGAAAAUACAUUUUAAAAAUAUAUAUUCUGACGGCCCACCACUGUAAAAUAGUUUUAAAAAACCCAUUGCCUUACCAUUUAAGUUUGAGAGAGUUCUCCGGGCAGCUGGAAACCAAAGAACCUCAACUACUCAGGUAAAUGAUUUGUUAGAGAACGAUAGUGUUUACAGGUUUAUGACAGAAUAAGUUUCUCUAUUCUCCAUCAAACGCCUAACAGCAAGCAGUAUGAGACUAGAAGCCAUUUAAUAAGAUUUAGUCCCAUUUGUGAACGUUCACUGUUGCUGAUUUAGUAUUUAAUUGUAGAAUGAUCUUCUUUUAAUUAUUUGAUGGGGAUUAUUUCCAAUGGCUUAUUAUACAGUCAAAUUAAACUACUUGUAAUUUCAUCACAAACUCAGUAGAUCCACCCUUGAGGACGCAUUGAAGUCUUGAAGAGCCCUUUGAAGUCCAAAAACCCAACUCUAGGAAGCAUGAGGAAGCAAAGUUACUAUGGCCGGUUUAGCUGCUUAACUAUCUAAAAGUCCAGACAUCUCAAACCAUUUCCUGCAUCAUGAUGGAUGCUCUCUAACUGCUGGUCAUUUCCACUUUUCCUUACAUACUUCACCCUUCACCCUUCGUUCAUUCCCCCCCCAUCUAUCUCUUCUUUUCUUCCCCUUUUCCUCAAAGAUCCCUGCAAGAUGAAAGGCAGCGUACCUCGCCCUUGCCUUAUCACUGUCUUUAGAGCUUGCAAAAACUUGGCGGCACCUCAGUCUUUUAGAGAGAGGAGAAUGGGAGAAAGAGAGACGAGAAAUAGCGUUGGGGAUUAUAGUUCUGAGGACAAACCUGACUAUUCACACUUGGCAUUAGCAAGACAGCCCGGGUACAAGAAGGAUAUUUUUUAUUCCCUUCAAUUUAACUUUAAUUACUCAAAUCUCGGCGAGGGCACACAAGAAAAGCCCAGGCAUUUGUGUCUGGGAGAUUAACAGACUGCCCUGCCAAGUCCUCGCCGGCACUGCAUCGUUAGAUAGAAUUCAAAUUCAAAUCCAGGCUAAAGACAGUGCAGCUGUCACCCCCCCUGGCCUGAAAACCCCCUGGAUCAGGAACGAGCUGUCCUCCCUCCUCCCUGCUUUCCCCAGGAGAAACCUAAUCCUGCCUCCCUCUCUUCCCAUGUUCUCUCUCUCUCUCUCUCAUGACUAUGACAGCUAAAAUGAAGCUAUUAAAACCCCCUUAAAUAAUUAGUCAUAAAAAAGUGGGUUGUUUUGUAUUUCUUUGGCAUCUUUCCUGAGGCUUGGAGGCUUGGAGUAGAGCAAGGCUUUCGUAAGUCUCAGGGGUGAUGCAUCUUUCACAAUUUCUCAUUUUUUUAAAGUGUGUUAAAGAAGGACAUGGACAUAUCAGGUGAAACACUUUUGCGUUUACACCUCCUCCCAUCUCUCAAGGAAAAAUUUGCUGGGUUUUCCUCAGUAAGUUUGAUGAAAUGUUUUUGUGUGAUACCGCAAGUCUUCGUUGGGAGCUUGUUUAAUCUUGUCAGUGAAGAACUCAAUGGGAGAGCGUCUUACGCGACACUAAAAUCCCCAGUAGUUGUUGCACUUUCACCCGCAAUUGACUUUGCAAACACCUGCAAUGUCUUCGAUAAGUCGCUCGUCUUAUCUCCUUUGAAGGAGCAGACCCCAUUAUUGUGGGUUCGAGGGCAGAUACCCCCGUCGUGCCGCAGGCUGCAAAUGAUAAUCCACGCUGCCACACUGCUGAAAUCCUGGUAAAAUGAUCCUAAAUUGACAAAACCCUUGGAUCCUCUGGACUAGGUUAAGCCUCAUCUAUUAGUGCUACAGUAGCUUGGGAUAACGGUUCGUCAAGCCUUGUGCCACUGCUUAGAAACGUCAUCAGCAAUGCCGUCCUUUUGGUUAUCUUUCUCUUUUAAUCCUCUGUAGACACAGCAAAGCAAGAGGGCCAAAUAGUUCAUCGUUCAUCAACCUUUAAAGUCUAAGGUAGUUUUUACUUAGUCAUGUGGUUGAGUCUGUAAAAACACUGCAUCAAGCCAUAAUAUCAGAACAGACAGCAUUAAGCUCUCACCCAAGUUGUUAUUUCUCUGGCCUUUAGUCCAUUAACGUGGGAAUUGAUUGGCGUGAUGGAAUUAAGGGGGGACUUGCCCGUGCUGAAUGGAGAGCUGGCACAGGCGUGAUGCAUUAAAUAUUUGGCACGGUCUAGCCAAGCAUCUGAUUAUGAUUUCAAAGGACUCAGACCUGGACUUGAUUAAAAACCACGUAGCCCUGCAAGGCCCCCAUAGGCAUCCACAGACAUGCCAGUAAGGGGAGUAGCAGCAGCCAUGGAUGAAGUCAUUGCACGCCAGCCUAAUUACAGGUUGAUUUAAAGGGACUUCUUUCAACUAGCUAAUCAAGUACUUCCAAUAAGGAUGUAGGAGGGUAAGGGUUCUAUACAUUUUUACACCCUUUUCUGCAAGAAUGAAAUCAUAAAGCUGAAGACAGUAGAGGCAGAAAGAGGCAAAACAAGUCUAGACCUCCUGGAGGAUUUUCCUUGAACCUUCCUUACAGAGUUCUAACAAGCCGCAAGAGCCAAGUGAAUAACCCCUUUUCCCCCUCCCUUCCAUCAUUUAGAGCCACGUUCCCAUCAUCCUUCCUUAUAUCCCUCCCUCAUCGUCCUCUCAUCCUCUCCCCCAGUUCUCUCUGGCCUGAGGGUUGGGAUAGCGAUUAAUAUCUGCCUAACUUGUUACCUAAUUCAUUAUGGAAUAGCAGUUAAUUUGAUUUGAUAUUAUUUUAAUAAUUCUGUAAUAUAUUAGAUUGUUCCAGGCUAUCAAAAUCAUUUUCCAAUUACUAAGGUUACUCAAGCAAAUCCGGCUUUUUCCCCCCUUUGUGUCAAAUGGCAGUUGGUCUGACUGUGAAUACAUUAGUAGCUAUGAUUCUAUCCCGCUGAUUGAAGGGAGACUAAAAUAUAUGUGUAUGCAUGAUUACACCCCAAAUGGUAUUAGUGCUAUAUAUCCACACAGCUGCAUUUGACGACAGUGUGAAUGGCUCAGCAAGGUGUUUUAAAUUUGUUUGAUUGAGCCCUCCCAAGAAGGAAUGAAUAGCAGAAAUCCAGAGAGAUGUGGUUUCUGUGCUUUCCUCUGCACACUAGCGUUUUGGCUCUCCCGUAAUUCGUAGCACGGUUCAGUAACUUUGGCCUUUCUAAAUGCAUCAAGGCACAGUGGGUCUCGACUGGACAAGAUCUAACAACCCCCACGCAUUUCCCCGUCCUGAUACACACCUAGCCACACCUUACUACCGCCCGCUGGCCUUUGAAAGCAAUCAUAGAAGAGAGAGAUUCGGAUUUGGCAUCACAUCUCAAAUAACUUGCCCACAGCUUCAAGUAAAGGGUUUUUAAGGGGAACAACGCCUUAUAAAUGAUCGUCUGCUGUUUGAAAGAUUUUCAUUUUCAGCUCCUGUGACCUUACUUAAUCCUUCUAGAAGCAAAACUGUCCUUACUUCCACCUGUGCAUACAGACAUCUGGGAAGAGAGGAAUAGUUUUAGUUUAGUCUCUAAACUAGAUUCUCAGGGCAGGUUUUGAUUAAAGUUAUCCCUUUGGCUUUUACUAUGCUAAUCCUAUAGGUGUCUCGUCUGACUGAUGAAAGCCAUGUCCUCAGUUUCUCCCCUUUUUGUUCCAUAAAAGUGUAAGCAUGUUAGGUGCAAAGAAGAGAGCCUUUCACAUGUGAAGACAUGAUCCAGUCUUCAUUCAUGUUGUACAUACCGUCUCACAUAUUCAGUUCCACUCCCUCAGAGGAAAACUAUUUAUGGGUUCACUCUUAUGAAUGGACAGAAUGGUCCUCCUGUUAAUUGUGUGUUGGUCCCAAUUUCUAACAACCUGUUCAACAAAUUUACGUGUAAAAGAUUAUUAUAAGAUUGCAGCUACGUAAGUCAUUUGUGUCUACAUGCUGUUGUACAUUCAAUGGUGGAAAUUUUUCUAAACAAUCCACCUCUUUCAGAAACGCCUCCACAUCUACAAUUACUUGCCAAACUCAAUUACACCCAGCUGUAACAGGCAUGUUGACAUUGACAGCUUUUAUUUGAUCACAGACAGCUUUUUGGUUUUACCACCUUGUCCGGCAGCUGUCUGUGCCAAGGGCUGCCCCGGGGGCCGUGGUUAGAGCCGGCCAGUUUCCCAAGUUCCACAAGUUCAGAUUAUUUAGCUCAUAAUUCAGCUUUGACAAGCAGUUGGCACUCUUCCAAAGACAUCCCUAUGUCUUGCCAAUGUAUGCUGUUUGUCCCCCCCUACCAUGACAAUGGAGUUCACUUUUUUAAACGGCCUACUUUUUUCAUCUCUUAUUGCGUUCGCAUAUCCCCCCUCCCCCCCUUUCUCUCCCUGCAGUCCAAGUGUUAUAAUGAUUUAUAGAAGAGUCAAUUUUUUUUUAGUUCCAAGACGCUCAAAUCAAAGAACCAUUGCAGUACUUUAUCUUGGUUUAUUUGAAGCCACUGCAUACUUCCCUCCUGGUCAGUUAAAUGUAUUUAAGUAUAUAUUUAGAUAAAAAAUAGUCUCUGGGCCACAAAUUUCAUUGUUUCCGUGUCAGUGAUGAAUUUCUCUCUUUUGAAAAACAGGGGAGAAUAAAAAUGCAGCCUUGGCUGCACGAUUAUUUCCUCUGUAGAAAAAAAAAACACCUAAGAAGGCACUCACUUUACUGUAGCCCACAAUACUGGAAUGUUCCCAUCAAUUACCACCGCUGCCUUCUCUCUGGCUUUGAGGACACAAGGAGAGGUCACUAGAAUACUUGUCCCGCAGACUUGAAGAGCAUUAUGAAACACUCCGUUCAAGGAACAGUAUGAUAGUACAAUGUCUCAAGUCCUUCCCCAGGACAAAGAAGGCUGCAGAAGAGCAGAUGAGUGGUAAGAUGCUGCUGUUUAUUGCAGGUAACAAUGAGGAGAAGCCAAAUUUGAUUUGAUUUGAAGUGGUCAUUGGUCAUCGCUGUCAUAUCUACGCAGCCUUGCUUGACGGGGCAACAGUGGCGCAUGGAGUAGAGAGGAUGCGCUGGGAUCCGCAAGGUCGGCCGUACGAACUCCGGCUGCUUCACGUCCCAUGUCGAAGUGUCCCUGAGCAAGACACCCAACUCCUAACCACUCCCUGGGCAAAAUGUAAACCAUGGGUUAAAAAUGCAAUGUAAGUCGCUUUGGAUAAAAGCGUCAGCUAAAUGUUGAUUAAGAGCCACGAACACCUCAAAGCCCUAGAAAAGAUGAUGUAGCAUUUUGAUACAUACUGAUCCUUGCUCAUUCCAACUUUAUUGCAUGCGGUAGCAAACAGGGAGAGGGUUGGUAGCCCGAUUGUUUUACAUUCAUUGGAGAAAUACAUGCUUUUAGUAGAAUGAGACAUGGUACAAACACGAAAGACAAAGGAAAAUUAGGGUGAUAUUUUGAAAUUCAGCCUGCUUCUUUGGUCGCCACAACUUAUGAGUUUAACCUCCAUUUGACUUCGAUGCACGUCUUUUUAACUGCUCUCAGCUGAAGCGAUCAGGGGCGCUGUGUGUGCUUCCUUGCACCCUGUGCAUUAAAACCUUUCCUCUUAUGUUCUGCGAGAUUGAAAGUGUCCAGCGUUUUAUUUAAAUGACACGCUACCUCACUGUGUGUCUCUCCUCUAUCCCCCUCCUUCACAUUAUUUUUGAAGACAACUGCAGGCUAGAGGAUAAGAAUCCCAGUUGCUGUGCUUGCCGGCACUUCUUCCUCGGCCAUGAUUUGAAUAAAGAGCUUUGAAAUUAAGUGGACAGGCCCGUCAGAAAAGCAGCGGUGCGCCUUUAAAAAGCCACCAUGCCCGAGUAAAUUAUUUUGAUUGACGGUGCCAGGAUAUUUUUUGCAAACUGGCUGAUUUAAUUGUGAGCGCCAGGGGGCAUCUUCAGGGGCCAGGUAUCGGCGUACCCAUUUGAUCUCCUCUAGCCAUCUCCCGAUGGUACCGGCCACCCGGGCACUGAGGGCCAGAGGCCAGACGAACAAAGUUAACCUUAUGCCUGUGAGCCUCUCUCUCCUUCGCCUCCUCUGAAAUAAAGAGGAAAAAAAAGCUGCGAAAUGGGAAGGCAAAAGUGUGAAAAUGGAUUUCUGAGCUCAUUUGAUGUUUGUGUCAAGAGUGGUAAAGUCAUUGAUAAAGAGAAGAGUGUGAGGGGGAAGGGUGGAUGAGAGAAGGAGGGAGAGGGAGAGUGCUAAGACAAAGAGUGCGAGUUCAUCAUCUGACGAAGAGCAUUUUCUAUUUUAUUUCCUGGAUGGAGGAGAGGUGUGGACUGGCUUUCAAAUUGGAGGGAGGAUUAGGAAGAAGGGGCUUAAUAAAAUUAUUCCUAGUCAACGGACAGGCCCUGUCAAGAAGAAGAAUCCAAUACCCACUCCCAAAAGCCAAGUCAAUCUCCAGCCAGCAAACGCACAUACAAAUGUGAAUACACCUCCACACCCAACAACCUCCCUUAAACCACAUCAACCAAAGCCCAAAGUAUUCCUAUACAACCUUCUCUACUAUCUCCACGUGCUGUCUCUGUCACAAUUGAACAUUCUCAGGACAGCAAACGAGCAAGAUAGGCAGUCGUCCUUAUCAGCCCAGCCCAUACUCAAUAUAAUCUGAGAAAAGUAGCACAGGUGUUGCACCAUCAAGCUCAGAUCGCAAUGCCUAAAAUUCAAGCCAGUUGUUCCCCAGUCUUUGCUAGAAGAUUUGCAAAUGUAUAUACAUGGAAGAGGCUGUUCAGUCAGGGUAUUACCUAUACCUGCAAAAAUGUUCUGUAAUUUGUAAAUACGCAUUUUAGACUUCCUCAUAAAGCAGGCCCCUCUGGCCGCGAGGUCGGUCAGCAAAAUAAGUGAUUAAACAGUUUGAUUCAAAUUAAAGGAUGUUUAUUUGUAACAAUAUUAAGUGAAAUCCCAAUUUGAAUCAAAAAAUAAUAUUCGAUUGAAUGUCGAUUCUUGUUUCACCCAACAGACUGGUUCCAGUCAGCUUAGGAAAUCCCCGGGACAUAUUGUUUUAAAAUCCUCCUUCUGCUCAUACGUCCUAACGUCCACUCAGGGGGUAGCUGUUACCUCGCGUAAACAACACCCCUACUUGAGUUCCUGUUCUCUGCCCGUCAUCACCCUCUCCACUAUUGAGUAACACAUACUCUGCCCCUCCCCCUGGUCCCCAGCUCAGGCAUACAUUAAAAAGCAGUUUAAAGCUAUCACGAAUGCUUUUGAGAUUCUGUUUUCUUCACAUUACCCAAGACAUCAAAUUAUAUGUAUUCCACAUAAUCAUAAACCAGAACCAAUUAGCUCACGUAGAUGUGAUAGAAGUGGUUGAUGGGUCAAGCAAUAAACAACCUUUCACCCUGGAGAAUGCUGUUUGUUCCCAGUGUGAAAUGAGAAGUCAAUUUGGAUUUAUUUGUUACGCUUUGAUGAUGGAUGUUGACAUGAGUGUAUCUUAAGAUAUUUUAACUGAAAUCUCCUUCUUAACCAAACUAAGUGCUUUUCUUGAAGGAGUUUAUUUUCAAAAUUCUAUAUGUAGAAAAACAAAUUGGCAAGUAUUUCUGGUCGUCAUAGAAAAAUGCAGAAUCAAUAAAACGGCCAAGUUCAGUCAUAUUUACUCUACCUGCGAUAUAUUAAAACACUGUUGAAACACAAAUUUGUUUUGACUUAAACCCAGCUAUGAUUCAAAUGUGUGCUUCAUAGUACCACUUUGAAAUAAAGUAGCUUCAAGGCUUAUGGUGUAAUGGUUUAAAGAUAUAACACUCAGUGAGCCCAUACUAUACACUUAUCACAUUAUCAAGCAAUUAUUCUCUGUUACAACAAACGGUAAACAAGCAGUUUGAAAAGUGUUAAGUGCAUUGAAAGACAAUAAAGAUAAAUCUUGAAUGGCCUUGCCAAUAUUUGAUCCAAACAGUGUAUCAAUUGUUUAGGCUUACUGUUCAAAGAAGUUAUAAAGUGACGGUUACCCAGAAAGUCCAGGAACUAUUUAUUAUUAAGAAACUAGAGGCCAACAAACACUGGCCACGUAUAUUUCAAGAUUUAGCAACCUGUUAAAAUACAUUUUCUGAUUAAAAAGAUUGCAUUGAAACCAUUGGUAAAUUUAAAACUUUGUCAAGUCUAUAAUACAAUAAUCCAAACAUAGGUACCCAUCUAAAGUGCUGGUUAUCUGUGGCUCAGUGAGAGCAGGGCUAUGUAUGUAUGAAUGUUUUGUAGCCUUGAUACACAGUUGCCAACUUGCAUGGUAGCUUUUGUGAUCAACAUGUGCAUGGGAUGAUGACAUGUAGCGUUGAAGAGCAUUCAGUACAGUAGUCCAUCCAUCCAUCCAUCUGCACACCGCUUAUCCUGCACACAGGGUCGCGGGGGGGCUGGAGUCUAUCCCAGCCAACUUCGGGCAAGAGACAGGGUACACCCUGGACUGGUCGCCAGCCAAUCGCAGGACUAACACAGAGACUAACAAUAAAUCACACUCACAUUCACACACCUACAGGCAAUUUGGAGCCACGAAUCACCAGAGCAUGUCUUUAAACUGUGGGAGGAAGCCGGAGAACCCGGAGAGAACCCACGCAGACACGGGGGAACAUGCAGACUCCACACAGAAAGUGAUAAUGACAGACAUCAUAUUCACAUUGUAACCCUCUUGGGAAAUUGCCAUUUCCGUCCUUUGGUAUUUUUAUUGCUUUUGUAUUACUAAGGCCACGACUUGGAAUAUGUAAACAUGUAUGCAUUUUUUCUUUUAAUAUGUAUAUGUCGUAAUAACACGUGGUAUUAUAAAAAGACACAAGGAAGACAACAUCAAAAAUACAAUGGACUUUAAAUCUGCCCAAGUUUACACUACUAACAUUUAAUUCACCCCCCACCCAAAAAUAAAUAAAAUUGGUAAAGUCUUUCUCUAUUACACAGGGAGAGUUAUUUACAUUUUUAUCACAAUGGAGCCAGCAUUAUUUGGUUUUGGUUCACCGGCACGUCACAAUGUCUUUACCUAAGUCAAAACGCAUUCUUGAUAUCUAAACCUGUGAAGAUUGCUUUCGCGUUGCAGUAGAAUUCUGAAUACUGACACAACAUAGAUUCCUCCAGUUAUUAGGAUUAUUAGUGGUUUUGUGCACAGGUUAGCCUAUAAUAACACAGCAGUAAUUGGAUAAGAAGGUCAUUAAAAUGUGCCAAUUCGAUUUCCCGCCAUUUUCAACGCACAGUUCGAUUCUCACAAAAUCUUCUGUGAAUCACAAUUGGUUCAAUGUCAUCAAAAUGUAUCAAAAGCUUGUUGAUAUCUUGAGUAUGGACCAAUAAACCUCUUAAUUAGGUAAAGACACAUAACUUCCAAAUGUAAAACUUUAGCCUUUCCUCACCAAACGUGUAAUACAUGUCCGCAUUGCACCCCCGAAAUACUCUAAUACUUUUUGAAUAAUAUCUAAGCAUUGGACUUUCGUGAUGCCAGUCAAUGACGGCACAGUCUUCAGACGUUGAGCUCUAAGUUGAUUUGGCUGCACCACGUCACCAGAUGAUCUGAUUCCCACUUGUAGGGUGACUCAUCCCCACCAGAGAUGAGUCCAAUGAGGGUAAAUGGAAACUUCAGGAGCUUGACGGACUGGGGAGCAGAGGGGAAAGAACGCAGCCUUGGGGGGAACCGGUGCUGAUUGACCGAGACAUGUUUCCCCAGCUUCAUGUGCUGCUUCCUGUCA